RNAcentral lists this long non-coding RNA (1804 nucleotides) under Oreochromis niloticus (Nile tilapia). RNAcentral describes it as "lncRNA (ENSONIG00000040258.1)". The record is from RNAcentral. Lineage: Eukaryota; Metazoa; Chordata; Actinopteri; Cichliformes; Cichlidae.
CAAAAAUGCUAUUUUUUUAACCUCAAGGUAGUUUGUAUGGAGGGUUUUUAUAUAAAAAGAAUAGAGAACAAGAACACAACUCAGUCUCAGUACUUUACCACUAAUAAUAAAAAAUGUAAAAAGAAAAAAUGUGAAGUGACACAAACUGCAGAUGUAGCCAGUAGAUUCUUACAUGAAUUUAUUAAAAGAAAUGAAAUAAAUAAAGAACAAGUAUUUGAGCUUCUUUAACAUCCCAGAGAACAAUGUGAGAAUUUAUGCAUUUUUGCUUAAGUAUUGCUUGAAAACACAUUGCUGAUAUAUAGCAUAUUAUUAUGAUUAAAAUGAGAUUUAAAAAAAAAACAGUUUACCAUGAGACACUCCCAGUAGAAUCACCAUCAAUCCAAGCACAACUUCCAUGUCUCCUCCUUGUUCAGUGUGCGCUGACAAAGUCAGCAUACUUUAUUAAAUGGCAUGUACAUCUAGGAGUUAACAGUCACAAUUGUCGUUAUUUUUUCUUUCUUCAGACUGAACACAGUUAUGUUCCCCUUGGGAAGCAUCUUCAAACACUUCAUUUCACGGCCACUAGCAUCAGUCAUCACUUGGACAUACACAGUUCCUUCAAGAAGAGGAGAGCAUGGACAUGUGUUUGUCCUGAGGUCACAUGUGGUUGCAUCAACUGGAAAGAGAGCUGGAGAAGAUGCAUUUAAUAGAACAUGAGGUGAAUUAUUCACACUACAAAUGUGAAUGUUUGGCUUCUUUAUGAGGACAAUCUUACCUUGAGUUCCUCCUACUAAUAGCACAAUGAUAAAAAACAGUUCCAUGCUCUUCAUUCACCCACGGUGUGGUUUUAAUCUUUCAAAGCUUCUAGAAAAUUAUGUACAAAUCUGGGUGUAAAUCUGCUGCAAACCUGAGUCCUAACUGACAGGAAACAGUCAAUGGGAGAUGAUAUAUUUAGUUAUUUUCAAAGUUAGGAAAUCAACUUUCACUUCUGCUUGCCAACAAAAAGACUCAGAUGAGUUGUCUGCGUUUUGUAGUGACCUGAUCUCAAGAAAUAUCCAUCAAAUGCAAAUAAACAAUUUCCCCCUCACUUUUAUACGCAAUACUGAAUCUAGACAAAACACACUUUCAAAAGUGUGUCAGGCACACACACUUUCUUCACAUAUACGUUUGAGAAAGAACAUGCAACAUCUGAAGUGACACGUUAAGUCACAAACAGUUGUUCCUGUGGGGAGAGCUUUAUUGCUUAAGAGUCUUUACAGGGUGUCCAAGAGAGACAUCUUUUUAUGUUUGUAAGUUUGCAGAGUUUGCUUUCUGAAAGGAAGGAAACAAAAUUAUGUAGAAAGAAUAAAACGUAAACAACCUAUGAAAAAGCAGCUUACUAAAAGGAUGCAAAUCAUGAGCACGAUAUGAAACAGUGAGGCAAUGCUGACCAACAAACAAAGAAGCCUUUUGUCUACCAAAGAAGGCUGAAUUCAAUAUGAGAAUCUCAGCUACACAACUAAAUAAUAAACAACAAUAAUCAAUAAAUAAAUGUACAUGACAUGAUUAUGUGAUGGAAGCAAACAUUACAGAUCUUCACUUUUCUAAUUAGCCUCAGGCUAAUUAGCAGGCCUUUAGCAUGAUGAGUGAUGAUGAACAUGAAUAUAAGAAGAAUCAAGUAAACCACUGUUUAAUCAAGGUAAAGAAGAAUGUAAAUAGUUUACUUACAGUUAAAUGGAUGCACAGAGCAGCACAGACUAAGGUAGUAUGUAAGCACUGAGCUACAAGUGAGAAAAGCUCAUCUGCCAAAAAAAAAGACCGAUGCAUGGGUACUUCCUGCUUUACA